Molecule: long non-coding RNA, 6138 nt
Filed under: Homo sapiens (human)
Lineage: Eukaryota; Metazoa; Chordata; Mammalia; Primates; Hominidae
Description: PREDICTED lncRNA (TCONS_00214696)
Source: RNAcentral
CUUCACAACAAUUCUAGGAGUCAGGUUCAAUUGUUAUUGCCAUUUGAUAGAUGAUGAGGGCAAUGAGUCUUAGAGAGGUUAAAUAAUUUGCUAAAGGCCACACAGCCUGUAAAGUGGCAGAAGCUGGGACCAUCCAACUCUAAAGCCCACAUUCUUAGACAUUAGGGGAUAUUGAAUGAAGUGUGUGUAUGUAUGGGGGAAUUUAAGAGAAUAUCAAACCAUUUGUAGAGUUCUACCCAAUAUAGAGACCUUAUCUAAUGUAAGAGAACUCUGAAGACAUCUCAUUGAUUGAAUGCUCUCCCCUUCAUAGCAACUUCUUCUGCGGCUUCCUUGCCUGGUGCUCCAGUCUUUGAGGGAAGCACGGCUGGCACGUUCUUCCGUUUGGAGACAUGGUUGACAAUUUCUCCAUAAUGGGGACACAACUGGCAAUUUUCCUACAGAGUGAGGCAGAUGGCAAUUUUCCUUCAGAGACAUGCAGGCAACAGUUUUGCCCCUGGAGAGAAAAGCCUCGCCGAUUGAGAUGCAGCCAGUAAUUUUUACUAUACAGAAGACACAUCCAAUAAUUUUGCCCAGUGAGAGAAACGGCCAACAAUUUUCCCACAGAGGACAGGAAAAACAGACCAAAAAUUCAUAGUGGGGAGAAGUGAGGAGCAAAUGGGCUGGUAUGACCAAGAAAGACUUAAUAAGAAGCUGAGCCUUAAAUGAUCAAGAAGCACUGGAUAGAUAAGAGCACUGUUCACAAUAGCCAAGAUUUGGAAGCAACCUAAGUGUUCACCAACUGAUGAAUGGAUAAAGAAAAUGUGGUACUUAUAUACAAUGAAGUACUAUUCAGCCAUGAAAAAGAAUGAGAUCCUGUCACUUGCAACAACAUGGAUGGAACUGCAGGUCUUUAUGUUAAGUGAAAUGAGCCAGGGACAGAAAGACAAACCUUGCAUGUUCUCACUUAUUUAUGGAAGCUAAAAAUCAAAACAAUUGAGUUCAUGGAGAUAGAGAGUAGAAGGAUGGUUACCAGAGGUUGGGGGGCAGGGGGAAGUGGGUUAAUGGUUAAUGGGUACAAAAAAAUAGAAAGGAUGAAUAAGAACUAGUAUGUGAUAGCACAACAGGGUGAUUAUAGUCAAUAUUAAUUUAAUUGCACAUUUAAAAAUAAAGGAGUAUAACCAGAUCGUUUGUAACAUAAAGAGUACAUGCUUGAGGUGAUGAAUAUACCGUUUACCCCAAUGUGAUUAUUACUCAUUGCAUGUGUGAAUCAAAAUAUCUCAUGUACCUCAUAAAUAUAUACACCUCUGUACCCAUAAAAAGACGUCAACAAGUUCUAGUGUCACACACCAUUUAAACAACAGGUAUUGAGUACCCAGUGUGUGUAAAGCACUAUGAUAGGUGCUAGAGUUACAAGAGUGAGCAAGAGAUAUACCAUGCCUACGCUCCUUCAACAAAGAGUGGGGCUUCUUAUCUACCAUGGCUGGGGCUUCCUCUCAUCUCUCUCUCUCUCUCUCUUUUUUUUUUUUUUGAAGCAGAGUCUCGCUCUGUCACCGAGGCUGGAGUGCAGUGGCGCGAUCUCAGCUCACUGCAACCUCUGCCUCCUGGGUUCAAGCGAUUCUUGUGCCUCAGCCUCCCCAGUAGCUGGGAUUACAGACGUGUGCCACCACGCCCAGCUAAUUUUUGUAGUUUUAGUAGAGAUGGGGUUUCACCAUGUUGGCCAGGCUGUCUCCAACUCCCGACCUCAGGUGAUCCACCUGCCUUGGCCUCCCAAAGUGCUGGGAUUACAGGAGUGAACCACCAUGCCAGCCAUCUCUUGCUCAAUUCCCCUGUAGUAGGCAGAAUAAUGCCAUUGCCCCCAUCCCCAAAUAUGUCUACACCCUAAUCCCUAGAACCUGUGACCACGUUAUGUUACAUGACAAGGGGGAAUUAAGGUUGCUAAUCAGCUAACCUUAAGACAGAUUACGUUAGAUUAUCUGAGUGGGCUCAGUGUAAUGACCAUGGUCCUUAUAAGUGAAAUAGGAAGGCAAGAGGGUCAAAGUCUGAAUAACCGUAUAUGAGAAAGACAAGACUGGUCACCGCUGUCUUUGAAGAUGGAAAGGUGCCAUGAGCCAAGGGAGGCAGGCAGCCUCUCGAAGCUCAAAAAGGCAGGUAGCCAUUCUCCCCUAGAGCCUCCAGAAAGGAGCACAGCCCUGCUGACACCUUGACUUUAGCCCAGUGAGACCCACUUCUGACUUUUGACUUCCAGAACUGUAAGGACGUUAAUCAAUUUGUGUUAUUUUAAGCCACUAAGUUCAUUAAGUAUGUGAUAAUUUGUUACAGCAGUGAUAGAAAACUAUCCUCCUCCGUUUGUCAACAAAGGGAGGGCUCAAAGUUCAUGAAUUCCCCCUUCAACUCUGCAAAGCCGCUGUUAUUAUUUCCCUGCACCCCAGGGCCAGUUCCCUUUCAGCAGCUGCCCCUAUACAGCUGGACAGGGAAGGCAGGCCAGAGCGGGCUGCUUCUGGGCAGAGGCCAUGAGAGGCUCACUGUCCAAGGGAGCUGGUGAACCCCAGCUCAGCCACUCUUUCCUCCCAGCAUUCCUGAUGCUGGUGCUGUACACCCAUAAGCCGACACAGUUCAGAGAAACCAGAACCCAGCGGCUGCAAAGGCAGAGCAAGCCAAACUCCUCAGAGACAUCAGGGCUUAGCAGCAGAACAUGAAACGACCGGCAAUCCUACCAUGUGCUAAAUAUUUGAAUCUUCCCAAAGCAAUGCCACUUUGUGCUCAGACAUCUACAGUGACUCUGUGUGGCUGAUAGCCAACAGUCCUACCCCCUUGUCCUGGUUCAGGGGCUCCAUAUCAAGCCCUAGGUCAGCAUUCCAAUAUUACUCUCUACUUCAUUCUGCUGAAAUGCUCCAUUGAGGUCUGACCCAUCUACUACUCAUUUGCACCAGAGUUGAAUAACUCCUACCUCCAGGGUCCAGGCAGGUAGUGAAAUAGAUGACACAUUCAUGGGUAGCAAUAGGGAACAGUAGGGACUGUGGCAAACUAGAGUGUCCACACCCUAUAAAAGGGGCAGUUUCCACCUGAGGUCAGCAGUUCGAAGCCAGCCUGGCCAACAAGGCAAAACCCCGUCUCUACUAAAAAAAAAAAAAAAAAAAAUACAAACAUUAGCUGGGUGCAGUGGUGUGUGCCUGUAAUCCCAGCUCCUCCAGAGGCUGAGGCAGGAGAAUUGCUUGAACCUGGUAGGCGGAGAUUGCACUCCAGCCUGGGUGACAAAGCAAGACUCUCUCAAAAACAAACCCAAAAUACAAACAAACAAAACAAAACCAUAAAGGGGCAAUUUCCACUCUGCUCCGGCUGAAUGCAGCCAUGCAGAAAUGGGGCUCCAGCACAGCCAGACUAAUUUGUAAGGCCUAAAUUUUUUGAGGAACUCUAAUUUUUUCAUGUUAGCAACUAACUAAAGAAACUUGAGCGUGUGAUCAAACAUACGUCCUCUGUAAGCUAUGCAGGCCACACCUGUGACCUGAUUAACUCCCUGCAGUGAUGAUGGUGAUGUCUGUGGUGCACUGGCAUGUGCUGGGGCUGGAUCCAUGCUCCUUCCCUAACCUCUCCCUGCUCCCCUGUUUCUCUGGCUCCUAUUCAACCUUCAGGGCUCACUGUCUUUUUCUAGAAAAACUUCCUGGACAAUCUUGGCCCACUGCAUCCUUUCUUCCUUACUGGUUAAUUUGGCCACCUUCUAAUCUUCCUCCUAUUAUUUUUAAAUAUUAUCUGUUCAGGAUUCACAAUGAGUUAAAAAAUUUUAGUUAGGGAAUUGGCCCCACAGAAAGGCAACACCAGUGACAACAAGAGCACCUGUUACCUGCCGGGCACCAUCUAGGGUAAGAAUUAUCUCUAUAUUAUGGCUGAGGAAACAGAGGCUUGGAGAGAUAGGGACCCAAAGGACCAUAUGGUCUCUGAGUGAGCCCAGCAUUGGAAGGCUCAUUAUCUGUGGGGUUAGAACUUUCUUACGAAGGAGACUCAGCUGGAAUCUGAUCUAAAGAAAGGGGAAGCGAAAACCUGUGUUUGGCUUAGGGUUCGCCUGUCAAUCUAAAGACUGAAUUUGGGCUAAUAUGUACAGACAAGUUCAUUAAUUGUGGGUCUGUUUGUCUUUCUUUUGUGAGGAAUAAUCAUUUAUUAGCCAAGCGGGACUGGUGCCUUUUUGAGAACUGUCAUUCUGGAAAGAUAUUGAUUGAAGGAGGCCUCUGAGCACAUUCUCUCCAGCAGGCAGCCGUAAGGGAGGCGGCUGCAGUCCAGACAAGAUGAUGAGUUGGCAGUGAGCAUCUCGACAGGAGCCUAAUGAAGAAAUCUGGUAACAGCGAGGGCUGGCUUUAUGAGCGCUCAUAUUUGGUCUUUCACUCUCUGCAAGGUUGGUGAGUGGCAAAAGUGUCCAUGGGCCUCUACCUCCCACUGUGGAAUUACACAUUCCUACAGCCAGUGGGCUCCGGGAACCCAAUGGCAGCAUCCCCAGGCCCCUGGGCCCACUCCACACAUCACAGGCUAGAGACUUCUUGUCUGCCUCCUUUCUCACGUCUCUCCCCCUGAGAUAGCAUGCUCUCCCCUCCCUCCUUCCCUCUCAUAAUUUGUUCCCAACAGGUAGCUUUGUGCAGUUACUCCAAGAGAAGCCCGAACUCCCUGGGGAGCCUCUGCCCAGGUGGAAGAGCUCUCGAGUGGCUAUUAUUAGGGGUGAUUGCUGGGAAGCUGGUUGCCAUGGCACCGCAGAGGCCAGUGCUGAACUCCCAAGCUGCCCCGUUUCCAAGGCUGUCUACAUAAUCACUGCAAUGAGAGGCACAGGCACAGAAAGGGAGAGAGGAGCAGCUCCCCACUGACAGUGAUCUCCCUGCAGAGCAAGGUUCCUGGAGUUUGCAAACAUCGAGUAGUGAUAGUCUUCCAUCUGCCAGGCACUGCGCUAAACUCUUUAUGGAGACAAAGAAAUGAUGCUCAGAGAGUCAUUUGCCCUUGGUCACAGGCUAAGAAGAGGCAGAGCUAGGACGUAAACCCAACUCUGGCUCUAUGGCAUCUCAUAUAGCAUCAUUUUUCCUCCAGUCCUCUGACUAGAAAGGGUGGCCCCUUCAACCUGGUGCUGAGAACAGACACUGGCGGCCCCACACCUCUGAAGGCAUGGUUCCAGCAAAUAGAAAUUGGACUGGCAAGGAUUAAACCGCUGGUUUGGGCUUCAUUAGCUAUGUGAUCUCACCAACCACAGAGAAUUAACCAGAGUGGAGCCAUCUCUUUACAGACUUAACACAAUGUACCGAGGCAAUGUGGAGAACAGUCACUGAAUUUAUUGAGCACCUACUACCUGCUCCAGACAUGCCAUUAACACGUGGGCUAUCCUUCCCUUCCACAGUCACUCUAGAACUUGAGGCCACUGUCCUCUGAUGCAGAGAGAAGAAACAUUUUAUAAUCACUGUAGACAAUAAAGGCUUUAUCUGUUAGCAAGCACUUUUGCUUAAUGACUUGGUCAUGGGGAAGGAGAGACAGGUUGUACUUGGUCCUCAUUUUGCACUUGGUUAGAGAGUAAGAGGCCUUUCCAUCUCCACUGCUGCUCAGGUACUUCCUCCCAGUGUACUCUAGCACUCCCCCAGCAGGUUCUGUAGAAACACAGACCCCAAGGCCUGGGCAGACUCUACCAGAAAAAUACUUGUGUUCCUCUGUGCUCUGCCUAGUACAUGGCUUCCCUGGCUACCUCUCCUACAGGCCUGGGGAGGCAAAGAUGGGAAGUGUUUGUAGGUAUUAUCUACUGACAACAUUCAACUUUAGACCUCGGUUCAAGCCCCCUCUACCUUUGCCUAGAUCUUUGACUUUGUGUAAACAACAUGCUUUUUCUGGGCCCAAUUUUCUCAUCUGUAACUCCAAGUUUAUGAAUUGUUUUGAUAAUAAAAUACUAAAAAAUAUUGAGUGUUUGCUGUGGACCAGACAUUUCAUUGAAUCUGCACAACAAUCCAGUAAUGCAUGUGCCAUUAUUGUCCCCAUUUUAUAGAGGUGGAUACUUAGCUGUACAGAGGGUAAAUCCAAGGAGUUAAGUCCAAGUUACCCACACCUGGGCUUGUCUGACCCCAGAACCAGCACUAUUGACCACUAUGAUAUACAGCCUCUUUCUAUCUUCAUUAAAGCCAAGUUUCCAAGCCACAGGAAUCUCAC